This 429-nucleotide ribosomal RNA is filed under the name Bacteroidota bacterium. Its description in RNAcentral is "Bacteroidetes bacterium partial 16S ribosomal RNA". It matches the Rfam family "Bacterial small subunit ribosomal RNA", at positions 355 to 776 of the family's 1533-position model. Lineage: Bacteria; Pseudomonadati; Bacteroidota. The record is from RNAcentral.
UAGGGAAUCUUCCGCAAUGGACGCAAGUCUGACGGAGCAACGCCGCGUGAGUGAAGAAGGAUUUCGGUUCGUAAAACUCUGUUGUUAGAGAAGAACAGCGCAUAGAGUAACUGUUAUGCGUGUGACGGUAUCUAACCAGAAAGCCACGGCUAACUACGUGCCAGCAGCCGCGGUAAUACGUAGGUGGCAAGCGUUGUCCGGAUUUAUUGGGCGUAAAGCGAGCGCAGGCGGUCAAUUAAGUCUGAUGUGAAAGCCCCCGGCUCAACCGGGGAGGGUCAUUGGAAACUGGUUGACUUGAGUGCAGAAGAGGAGAGUGGAAUUCCAUGUGUAGCGGUGAAAUGCGUAGAUAUAUGGAGGAACACCAGUGGCGAAGGUGACUCUCUGGUCUGUAACUGACGCUGAGGCUCGAAAGCGUGGGUAGCAAACAGG